AAGAGGUCCAGCCUGCCCAGUGACUCUGUUCAACGGCCGCGGUAUCCUAACCGUGCGAAGGUAGCGUAAUCACUUGUUCUUUAAAUGAGGACUUGUAUGAACGGCACCACGAGGGUUAUACUGUCUCCUUUUUCUAAUCAGUGAAACUAAUCUCCCCGUGAAGAAGCGAGGAUGAAAAUAUAAGACGAGAAGACCCUAUGGAGCUUAAAACAACAUAGCACUUAUUACACAACUUUUGAUUUCCCGAAUCUUCAUCACAACAGAUAACAUGACUAUGAGUUUUUGGUUGGGGUGACCACGGAGCAAAACACAACCUCCAUGUUGAAAGAAUUAACUUCUAAACUAAGAACCACGCUUCUAAGAAUCAAUAUCUUGACAUCAAUUGACCCAAUAUAUUUGAUCAACGAACCAAGUUACCCUAGGGAUAACAGCGCAAUCCACUUCAAGAGCCCCUAUCGACAAGUGGGUUUACGACCUCGAUGUUGGAUCAGGGUUUCCCAGUGGUGCAGCCGCUACUAAAGGUUCGUUUGUUCAACGAUUAAAACCCUACG
This 551-nucleotide ribosomal RNA is filed under the name Ingerophrynus galeatus (bony-headed toad). RNAcentral's name for it is "partial 16S ribosomal RNA". It matches the Rfam family "Bacterial large subunit ribosomal RNA", at positions 1847 to 2600 of the family's 2925-position model. The record is from RNAcentral. Lineage: Eukaryota; Metazoa; Chordata; Amphibia; Anura; Bufonidae.